CCUACGGGUGGCAGCAGUGGGGAAUAUUGGUCAAUGGGCGCAAGCCUGACCCAGCAACGCCGCGUGAAGGAAGAAGGCUCUCGGGUUGUAAACUUCUUUUCUCAGGGACGAAGCAAGUGACGGUACCUGAUGAAUAAGCCACGGCUAACUACGUGCCAGCAGCCGCGGUAAUACGGAGGUGGCAAGCGUUAUCCGGAUUUACUGGGUGUAAAGGGCGUGUAGGCGGGGACGCCAGUCAGAUGGGAAAACCACGGGCUCAACCUGUGGCCUGCAUUUGAAACUGUGUUGCUUGAGUACUGGAGAGGCAGACGGAAUGCCUGGUGUAGCGGUGAAAUGCGUAGAUAUUAGGAGGAACACCAGUGGCGAAGGCGGUAUGCCGGACAGCAACUGACGCUGAGGCGCGAAAGCGUGGGGAGCAAACAGGAUUAGAUACCCCAGUAGUC
This 443-nucleotide ribosomal RNA is filed under the name uncultured bacterium. RNAcentral describes it as "partial 16S ribosomal RNA". It matches the Rfam family "Bacterial small subunit ribosomal RNA", at positions 338 to 795 of the family's 1533-position model. The record is from RNAcentral.